AGCCGACUACAACUCCGUCCAGUCGCCAACAUUCCGCCAAAUACCGACUUGCACUAUACUCGUAUGCAACUUAGUUUUAACGUUUUACAGCUGAACAAAUAACUUCCUUAUGGCGGCCUCUGCGACAUGUGAGGAGUGAGACCUCAUACGGUGUGGAUGCUGCUGUGUUGCGUGCAACUAACUAGCGUGAUUAUAUGCGAGAUGUCAUCUGGUUUGGUGUGACGGAUAUUGAUAGCAAUCAUACCUAUCAAAGUUUUGCAUAACAAUUAAUUAUAAAUAAGUUUAUGAAUAUUUUAUCACAUCGUACGAUGUUGAUAUCAGCUGAGCGCAUGAUAUCAGCUCCUGUAGUGACGACACAUUUUAAUUUGUUAAUUGCCAGUGGAGCGGAGGGUACGAUAGUUCUAGGAAUGUCGACAGCUAAUGUGUGUGUGAUAUUGUUAUCGUUACGUUACCAUGGAUAAGUGACAGGAUAGUAUUAAUCCUACUUUAGUCUUCUGCCCUUUGAAUACACGUACGGCCAAAACGAUUGAGGAAAUGAGAGCAAAUAUGACAUUGACGUGUGCGUCUGAGUUUGACAUUUCAACCAUUAUUGCCACUAUCAGAUUUAGAAAAACCUACACUCAUGGAAACUGUAAGAUGCAAAUCUACCAGAUAAAUAAUUUUCAAUUAACUGCAGUUAUGUACUAAAAAAUUGAGCUUAUCCUCCUUUUAUGUACUCAAUAUACUAAAUCCUACUUUCAAGUUUAACACUUUUCUGAAAACCGUAUUAAAAUCGGUUGAGCUAAUCGCUGAGAAACACAUAUGUAUAGGUCUAAUUGAACGCCUUUCUUUUUUGAAAUCGAUUAAAAAUGUUUUUCAAAAUGUGCGAUUGCCGCGUAUUUUAUGUUAUAUCAUGCAGCACGGUACUUUGCAGCUAAUUCCAGGGUGUCCUUACUCCAGGCUCGCUCGUGGUGGAAAACCGGUUUAAAAGUAUUGUAAAAUAAUUUCAUGAUUGGGUGAAAAUUUUCAUAAAACGACAAGACCGGCAAGUCCAUACGACGGCAUUUUGAGCCCCAUUUCAUGUUUGUUUCUGUUUAUGGAAGAGGCGCACAUUCAGUAUGUCCUCCUGAAGAAGUUCUAGAAAGCAGCGAGCUUCCAGUUUGUUCCAGUUACCUUUGUGCAAUUAUUUUCCUCUACAAAAACAAGCAUUUUCAUGUCAAAUAACUUUUAUUUUAGUUAAACAAAGAAAUGUAUAUAUAAUAUUAUAUAUAGGUAUGUUUAUUGAAUAAAAUUAUAUCUUAUAAACAGA
Long non-coding RNA from Spodoptera frugiperda (fall armyworm), 1288 nucleotides. RefSeq lists it as uncharacterized. NCBI's taxonomy places the organism in Eukaryota, Metazoa, Arthropoda, Insecta, Lepidoptera, Noctuidae. The record is from RefSeq and is a predicted model, not a curated record. The transcript is spliced from 2 exons.